UGACAAUCUAAUUAUAUUGUGCUGUGAACGAAUAUUAUGUCCUGCAAGCAAAGAACAAAUGGAUUGAUGGCCUGUGAUAUUUCCAUCGAUAAUGCAUUGGCCGCACAGCGUCAUCAUCAGUUUAAGGAACAGACUUCACCUCGAGCCUAAUGGGACCCUGAACGUAAACAUUUUCUUGUGCCAAAACCCAGAGAAAGCGAAGCGCAAGGGACCUGCAAUUAGGAUGUUGACACCAGGGGAGGGGCAAGAACAGCAGUUGUGUUUGCCUUCAGAAGUUCAGAUACUUAGUGAAAAAUGCC
RNAcentral lists this long non-coding RNA (299 nucleotides) under Crocodylus porosus (Australian saltwater crocodile). Its description in RNAcentral is "lncRNA (ENSCPRG00005010376.1)". Lineage: Eukaryota; Metazoa; Chordata; Crocodylia; Crocodylidae. The record is from RNAcentral.